CCUCUCCCUCAGUAGUUUGCCUGUGUAGACGGUUGAUAGAUUGGUACAUGAUGCCUCUCCCUCAGUAGUUUGCCUGUGUAGACGGUUGAUAGAUUGGUACAUGAUGCCUCUCCCUCAGUAGUUUGCCUGUGUAGAUGGUUGAUAGAUUGGCACAUGAUGCCUCUCCCUCAGUAGUUUGCCUGUGUAGAUGGUUGAUAGAAAGUUGUACUAAAUUAAUGUCUUCUUCCGUAGCUUGCUUAGCAUGCUCUCCCAUCAAGAAAAUGGAGUGUGGUGUGUGAAGAUGUGAUGUGUGAAGAUUUGAGGACGGGAAUUGGUGUGAAGAUUUGAGGACGGGAAUUGGUGUGAAGAUUUGAGGACGGGAAUUGGAUAUGUGUACCAAUAUGAAACUCCGGCUGGAUCUGAAAUUGAGGUGUACUCAAACAGUGUUUGUGGAGAUCUUAUGACUCCAAUAGCCUACUGUGGCAUGAACAAGCCUUUUGAGGCACAUCUCUCUGAUAAGGUGAUAAAUGUGAACAACAGUGCUGUCAUCCUCUCUGAAUGCCUGAAUCUGACAUUCACAUUCUUUCAUGUUCUCCAGGGCAAGGUGGAGGAGCGCCAUUUGUAUUACAUUGUUGCAGGGCAAGGUGGAGGAGUGCCAUUUGUAUUACAUUGUUGCAGGUAAAGAAUGAUUUUAGAGAUACUUACUUCCCAUGUGUCUUCUCUUAAGGGCAAGGUGGAAGAGUGCCAUUUGUAUUACAUUGUUGCAGGGCAAGGUGGAGGAGUGCCAUUUGUAUUACAUUGUUGCAGGUAAAGAAUGAUUUUCCUAUUUUCUUUCAUUUUAAACUUCUUGCACUUUCAUAUUGAUACAUAUAUCCAAGGCAGUUAACGCUAAUUUCUCUGGAUAAGAGCGUCUGCUAAAAUGUAAAAAACGUAGACUGACAAUUCAACUGACAUUUUAAUUUACAAUCCGACUGACACCUCGGACAACACAUCAGGUAAGUACUCUUAACUAAUAUAAAGACAGCUCAUUACUGUCUAUAGCAUCUCCAUCUGAAAUAAAAUACAUAUUCAAUUGAAAUGAUUUUACUCUCUGAUUAAACUCAGGAAAUGGAGACAAAGCCAAAGCCACUGGCCACACAAAGGAAAUCACUGCUGGUGUUCUUGGUUCUGCUGCUGGGCAUUGCUGGUUUCUUAGUGUACAGAUAUGGCAACAUUCCUUGGAGAGACAAACAUCCCUUAGAUCGGCUGGGUCGGGACUACCUUAACACCAACAGGGAAAAACAAAGGGACCAGGGGGAUGGGGUGGAAGAGGAGAGGGAGCCACCACACAGUCAGGAGACACAUGUUGAGUCCUCUCUGCUGAAUGGGCAUCUUGUGAACAGGGUUAACGAUGAGACUAAGGAAGCGACUCCUGGUGCACAGAGUCCAGGACCUCCUCAGACGAAUGGAGGACCUCCCAUGUCUGACAGGUUGGAGAACAACCCUGUUGGUCAGUGGAUGAAGAAAACUGCUCUGGUGAACAAGCAGGACCAGGACUGGUCAGCAACGGCAUGAAGCCAGUUGAAAAUAUAUAGCAUAUAAGAUGAAACUAAGUGUAAAUAUAAUAAAAAAUAACAUGAUAUACACUGUAAUAUAGAACAGUAUAAUAUAAUAUGACAUGAUAUAAUAUCGUAACACUUACUUGUAUAGUGUUAUAUAUUCUAAUGAAUGCAUUCUUAACAACAUGAAUGAUGCAUUAAUGCAUACAUAGGACAUAACUGUAUAGUAAAAUUAUAAUAUAAUACUGUGCUGGUAAGCUGCUAGCUGUGGGGUUGCCCCCAGCUGUGGUUUCUAUUAUUCAGAGUAUCUAAGCUCAACUUCAAAUCCAUAGUUUUUAGCUUAGUUCUUACCGUAAACUAGCACUUCUUAGAGACAAAGUUAUGGGACAUGCUGUAUAACUACUUACCAUUCUGAAGUGUAACAGUCAAGUUUAUAUGUAACAAUUGUUCAUCCCUUUUUUAAAUGUUUAUUUAUAUAUUUGUUUGCUUGAUUAGAUUGAAUUAGUAUGACUAAUGCAUUAUUUUACCCUCCCGUAUAGAGGGACAUUAUUUUACCCUCCUGUAUAGAGGGACAUUAUUUUACCCUCCUGUAUAGAGGGACAUUAUUUUACCCUCCUGUAUAGAGGGACAUUAUUUUACCCUCCCAUAUAGAGGGACAUUAUUUUACCCUCCCGUAUAGAGGGACAUUAUUUUACCCUCCCGUAUAGAGGGACAUUAUUUUACCCUCCCGUAUAGAGGGACAUUAUUUUACCCUCCCGUAUAGAGGGACAUUAUUUUACCCUCCCGUAUAGAGGGACAUUAUUUUACCCUCCUGUAUAGAGGGACAUUAUGUUACCCUCCUG
Long non-coding RNA from Oncorhynchus tshawytscha (Chinook salmon), 2359 nucleotides. The record is from Ensembl. Lineage: Eukaryota; Metazoa; Chordata; Actinopteri; Salmoniformes; Salmonidae.